ACCUUGCUGACGAGUGCCAAAUAGCACGAAACCUAGUUCAGAGAU
RNAcentral lists this non-coding RNA (45 nucleotides) under Schistosoma margrebowiei. Lineage: Eukaryota; Metazoa; Platyhelminthes; Trematoda; Strigeidida; Schistosomatidae. The record is from RNAcentral.